AUUGAACGCUAGCGGCAGGCCUAAUACAUGCAAGUCGAACGAUAGAAGAGGGCUUGCUCUCUUCGAAAGUGGCGCACGGGUGCGUAACGCGUAUGCAACCUACCUUAAUCAGGGGGAUAGCCCGAAGAAAUUCGGAUUAACACCGCAUAAAAUCACAGUACAGCAUUGUACAAUGAUCAAAUAUUUAUAGGAUUAAGAUGGGCAUGCGUGACAUUAGCUAGUUGGCGGGGUAACGGCCCACCAAGGCGACGAUGUCUAGGGGAUCUGAGAGGAUGACCCCCCACACUGGUACUGAGACACGGACCAGACUCCUACGGGAGGCAGCAGUAAGGAAUAUUGGUCAAUGGAGGCAACUCUGAACCAGCCAUGCCGCGUGCAGGAAGACAGCCCUCUGGGUCGUAAACUGCUUUUAUUCGGGAAUAAACCUACUUACGUGUAAGUAGCUGAAUGUACCGAAGGAAUAAGGAUCGGCUAACUCCGUGCCAGCAGCCGCCGUAA
Molecule: ribosomal RNA, 498 nt
Filed under: uncultured bacterium
Lineage: Bacteria
Description: partial 16S ribosomal RNA
Rfam family: Bacterial small subunit ribosomal RNA
Source: RNAcentral